GGGAAAUUCGCCAUCCCUCUAAUUGGCUUUGUGGCGCUCUUCUGGGCCUGCUCCAACAGGUCAAUGUCCUUCCUGUGCUGAGGACCCCAGAGGUGGACACAGCUCUCCAGCUGGCUUGUCAUGAAAGUGAAGUAGAGGGGCAGAAUGCCUUCCCUCACUCACGCUGUGAGCCAUGCUUCUUUUUGUGCAGUCCAGGACAUAUUUGGCUCUCUGGGCAGUGUGAGCACACACUGCCAGCUCAUGGCCAGCCUCUCAUCCACCAGCACCUUCAAGACCUUCUUGGAAGGACUGCUCUUCAUCCAUUCAACCCCUAAGACUGUGCUGAUACUGAGGAUUGCCCCUUGCUCUUGGCUUUGUUGAAUUUCAUGUGGUUACCUUGGACUCCCCUACCAAGUUUGUCAAGUUUGUCAAGGUACCCCUUCAUUUUUCCCCAGUCCCCGUCUUGGAGUCCAUCCGUUGGAGAGGUAUGAAAAGAAACUGUCAUAAAAGACUGAGACAAAACCACUGCUGAGCAUCUCAGCCUUCUCCUCAUUUGUUACCAAUCUGCCAGCAUUGCUCAUCAGAGAGGUGCUGCUUUCUUUAACCUUUAUUUUCUGGCUGACAUACCUAUAGCAGCACUUCUUGUUAUUCAUUGCAUCCCUUGCUAAUUUCAGCUCCAACUCCACCUUGGCUCUGCCUUUUAUGAGCUAGAAUAUAGCCAUUUCUGUGUUUCCUAAACUAUUCUUUUGGCUAGAUAACUUUACUUCUAUCUAUGAAAAAUCAUGCCUCAUAUUCAAGAAAAUGAACAUGAAUAUCUUUCAUUGAACAGCCUCUAGAUCCAAGUAAAAGAGAUGUACAGAAAAACCUUAUUGAUAAUCAUUAAUAAUGAUCUGCAAAACAAAUAAAAGCCAAUGCAUCACGUUCUUUAAUGGCCCUAUCCAAAUUCUGGAAAUAUUUUUCUUUUAACACAACAGUUAUCUUCUGUCAAAAUUACCUUUCUCUCUAGGCUUCCCUGCUGCCAAGUCACUUAAGUCCCCUGAGUAUUACGUAAGCAGAAAAUGGUAAUGAAUAGGACUUCAUUUCUACAUAUCUAUGAAGACAUCAAUAGUGAAUGACUAAAUGAUAUUUGGGUAUUCUAAUUAUGUAGGUUCAAGGAAUGCUUAGAUUUAACACACUCCUAUUAAAAAAAGGUGAGUUUAGGUGCUUUUUCCCACUAUAUGUCUUGUGUCUUGGGGAUCCUGUGCCUAUGAGUCAAGUCUCAUUAUAAUUUUUAAUAAACUAAAUAAUUAUAAAGACACCUACAACAUCAGUUUGAGUUAUACAUCUUACAGGACCUAAAUUAAAGUUUUAUCUUAGUGCUGGUGUACAAGCAGCCUCCAGGACUUUUCUACACUUGAAAACACUCUUACACAAGUCAUUUACACCUUUCUGAUGGACCUGUAAAGAGCAGCUGUCAAGGAGGCUGCUCAGGCACAAAACAACACUAAUUCAUGUUCUGCACUCCAGAACUGGCUGCGAAGGAAGCCGAAACAGGUGAGGAAUGAGAAGUUUCUGAAAACAUUUCAGAGACGCACUGAAAGACUGUUCUGCAGUAUGUUUGUUAUGCUUCUAAAUUUCCAGGAAAAACAUAAAUGAGCUCUAGCAAUGUUACAUUUGUACCUAUUGCAGACAGAGGAUAAAUAAAGAUUCUCCAAUAUUUUUGGCAGACAAAGUAAAUGGCUGUGAACCCACAAGGAGAGGGAGAAAAAUCCAGUAUGAUAAUAAAGCUCUCAAGUGUGACCUUAUAAUGCAGGGGGACAAAUGAGGAAUUUCCUUUUUUGCCUCAAUUUUCAAACAGGUGAAGUUCAGAUUUUUUUUUUUUCUUUAGUUGUCUAACUCUCACUCGGGUCUACAAAGAAAUCAAAGAAAUAAAUAAUAUGCCUGUUAAGCGUCACCAAAAAAAAAAAAAAAAAAAAAAA
Molecule: long non-coding RNA, 1937 nt
Filed under: Taeniopygia guttata (zebra finch)
Lineage: Eukaryota; Metazoa; Chordata; Aves; Passeriformes; Estrildidae
Description: lncRNA (ENSTGUG00000026735.1)
Source: RNAcentral